Molecule: ribosomal RNA, 373 nt
Filed under: uncultured organism
Description: bacterial SSU rRNA
Rfam family: Bacterial small subunit ribosomal RNA
Source: RNAcentral
CGUAGGGUGCAAGCGUUGUCCGGAAUUAUUGGGCGUAAAGAGCUCGUAGGCGGUCUGUUACGUCGGCUGUGAAAACCUAGGGCUCAACUCUGGGCUUGCAGCCGAUACGGGCAGACUAGAGUUCGGUAGGGGAGACUGGAAUUCCUGGUGUAGCGGUGAAAUGCGCAGAUAUCAGGAGGAACACCGGUGGCGAAGGCGGGUCUCUGGGCCGAUAUUGACGCUGAGGAGCGAAAGCGUGGGGAGCGAACAGGAUUAGAUACCCUGGUAGUCCACGCCGUAAACGUUGGGAACUAGGUGUGGGCUCCAUUCCACGGAGUCUGUGCCGCAGCUAACGCAUUAAGUUCCCCGCCUGGGGAGUACGGCCGCAAGGCUA